ACAUUCCAGCCUGGGCAACAGAGUGAAACCCUGUCUCAAAAAAAAGCAGCAACUUCUCUCUGGGAAAGGCAGGUCUUGUGACAGAGGCAAACGAGAGAUGGCAGAAUCUCACAGUGGCAUUUAUAACUUCUGCUUUGAAGUGGCAACAUUUCCAUUCACAUGUCAUUGGCCAAAGCAAGUCAUGUCCAAACUAAUAUCAAUGCAAAGCAUAAUCCCAUAAGGACACAUCUGAUAUAGAGGGGCAGUGAAAAUGUCAACAAUAAUAUAAUCUAUGAGAGGAUACAGAAGCAUAACCAGUAAAUGUUAGUGUCCUUCCCUUUCCUCUUUUCCCUUACUGGUUCCCCCUGAGAAACACAAGUGUACAGCAUGGAGAGGCUGUGUGAUGUCAUAAUUAAGAGUGUAGAUUCUGAGAACAGACUGCCUGAGUUCAAAUCCUUACUCUGCCAUUUUCCAGCUGUGUGGCUUUGGGCAAGUUAUUUAACCUCUCUGUGCCUCAACUUCUUCAUGUAAACUGGCAGUAAUAAUAAUACGAAUGCCACAGAGCUGUGGAUGAAAUGAGCCCAUUCCGGUCUGGCUUCUUUAACCAGGAAGAUGUGGGCUGAGAGCUGUGGAGUAGAUGUCUUCACCAGAUGAGUACACAGAGAAGUAGAGAAUGUGUAUCUGCAGAGUAGGAUGAAGCAGAGACAAGAUGAAUUUAAGUGAAUAAUGAUGCCAAAGCAUCUCAUGGAAAAAAAAACAUGAAUAAAAAGCAUUGCUCUAAAUGUAACGUUAUCAAAAUCACUGGUUAAAGCAACAUAUAGCACUCUUGUUUUUGAUACCAGUCUUGUGAAUAAGGUAUUCAGGAAGCACAGCUGUCUUUUGUUCCUGAAGCCGUAUCAGGAUUCAGCAGGAAAGAGCACCAAGAUCACUUGGCAAUGUUUAUCCUGAUCAAGCACGGGCACUGAUGGCAGGAUGUCAAUGUUGAAAAGCAGGUUAUUUAAUUCUGCUAUUUAAAAGUGGCUACGGACCAGGCGCAGUGGCUCACGCCUGUAAUCCCAGCACUUUGGGAGG
Molecule: long non-coding RNA, 1050 nt
Filed under: Homo sapiens (human)
Lineage: Eukaryota; Metazoa; Chordata; Mammalia; Primates; Hominidae
Description: HSALNT0320339
Source: RNAcentral